RNAcentral lists this ribosomal RNA (474 nucleotides) under uncultured bacterium. RNAcentral describes it as "partial 16S ribosomal RNA". It matches the Rfam family "Bacterial small subunit ribosomal RNA", at positions 28 to 507 of the family's 1533-position model. The record is from RNAcentral.
GAUGAACGCUAGCGGCAGGCCUAACACAUGCAAGUCGAGGGAGGAGCUUUCGGGCUUCGACCGGCGUACGGGUGCGUAACGCGUAUACAAUCUGCCUUUCACAUAGGGAUAGCCCGAAGAAAUUUGGAUUAAUACCUAAUGGUAUAUAGGAGUGGCAUCACAUUUAUAUUAAAGCUGAGGCGGUGAAAGAUGAGUAUGCGUUCUAUUAGCUAGUUGGAGAGGUAACGGCUCCCCAAGGCGACGAUAGAUAGGGGUUCUGAGAGGGAUAUCCCCCACACUGGUACUGAGAUACGGACCAGACACCUACGGGAGGAAGCAGUGAGGAAUAUUGGACGAUGGUCGGAAGACUGAUCCAGCCAUGCCGCGUGCAGGAAGACGGCCUUAUGGGUUGUAAACUGCUUUUGCAGGGGAAGAAUAAGGACUACGAGUAGUUUGAUGACGGUACUCUGCGAAUAAGCAUCGGCUAACUCCGUG